RNAcentral lists this ribosomal RNA (252 nucleotides) under uncultured bacterium. RNAcentral describes it as "partial 16S ribosomal RNA". It matches the Rfam family "Bacterial small subunit ribosomal RNA", at positions 524 to 776 of the family's 1533-position model. The record is from RNAcentral.
GACGUAGGGGACGAGCGUUGUCCGGAAUCAUUGGGCGUAAGAGCGUGUAGGCGGUCCGGUAAGUCGGUUGUGAAAGUCCAGGGCUCAACCCUGGGAUGCCGACCGAUACUGUCGGACUAGAGUUCGGAAGAGGCGAGUGGAAUUCCUGGUGUAGCGGUGGAAUGCGCAGAUAUCAGGAGGAACACCGAUGGCGAAGGCAGCCCCCUGGGUCAAAACUGACGCUCAUGCACGAAAGCGUGGGGAGCAAACAGG